GGGAAUAUAGUGUGCAUAUGCUAUGCAGCAGGGGAUUAGCUAGAUAGCGCGUACAUGAUCGAUCGAUCAGUCGAUUAUCAUUUGUUCCUUCAUUCGCGGAUCUUGUGUGUGUACAGUACAUGGGUCAAAUGAUUAGGCGAUUUGUGCAUCAUUUGUAUUCAUGUUGAGGUUUUGGUGUCUGUCCAAUGAGGUGCCUCGAAAGUGCGUCUGGGGAAAGUGCACCGGUGAAAUGGAGAGAAAUUGGUCGAUGCAAGAGCAUCGUCAACCAGUAGGAAAAAAACCAGAGGUGAAGAUUAUUCCCC
Molecule: long non-coding RNA, 302 nt
Filed under: Setaria viridis
Lineage: Eukaryota; Viridiplantae; Streptophyta; Magnoliopsida; Poales; Poaceae
Description: long non-coding RNA (SVIR_LNC011071)
Source: RNAcentral